RNAcentral lists this ribosomal RNA (166 nucleotides) under Orthoclada laxa. RNAcentral describes it as "5.8S ribosomal RNA". It matches the Rfam family "5.8S ribosomal RNA". From Rfam's summary of the family: 5.8S ribosomal RNA (5.8S rRNA) is a component of the large subunit of the eukaryotic ribosome. It is transcribed by RNA polymerase I as part of the 45S precursor that also contains 18S and 28S rRNA. The record is from RNAcentral. Lineage: Eukaryota; Viridiplantae; Streptophyta; Magnoliopsida; Poales; Poaceae.
CAUAACGACUCUCGGCAACGGAUAUCUCGGCUCUCGCAUCGAUGAAGAACGCAGCAAAAUGCGAUACCUGGUGUGAAUUGCAGAAUCCCGCGAACCAUCGAGUUUUUGAACGCAAGUUGCGCCCGAGGCCUUCUGGCCGAGGGCACGUCUGCCUGGGCGUCACGCC